RNAcentral lists this ribosomal RNA (1359 nucleotides) under metagenome. RNAcentral describes it as "bacterial LSU rRNA". It matches the Rfam family "Bacterial large subunit ribosomal RNA", at positions 1581 to 2925 of the family's 2925-position model. The record is from RNAcentral.
CUAGGUGAAGUCAAUGAUCCCAUGCUGCCAAGAAAAGCCUCUAGCGGGCUUCGAGCGGCCCGUACCCCAAACCGACACAGGUGGUCAGGUAGAGAAUACCGAGGCGAUCGGGCGAACUGUGGUUAAGGAACUCGGCAAAUUACCCCCGUAACUUCGGGAGAAGGGGGGCCACAGACUGUCAUACCCCACGCGGGUGGCAGCAGUAGGUGGCCGCAGAGACCAGGGGGAAGCGACUGUUUACUAAAAACACAGGUCCGAGCGAAGUCGUAAGACGAUGUAUACGGACUGACGCCCCCCGGUGCUGGAACGUUAAGGGGACCGGUUAGUCCGCAAGGGCGAAGCUGAGAACUUAAGCGCCAGUAAACGGCGGUGCUAACUAUAACCAUCCUAAGGUAGCGAAAUUCCUUGUCGGGUAAGUUCCGACCUGCACGAAUGGCGUAACGACUUCCCUACUGUCUCAACCACAGGCCCGGCGAAAUUGCACUACGAGUAAAGAUGCUCGUUACGCGCGGAAGGACGGAAAGACCCCGGGACCUUCACUAUAGCUUGACAUUGGUAUCCGAAUUUAAUUGUGUAGGAUAGGUGGGAGGCUUUGAUCCGCGGACGCCAGUCCGUCGGGGAGCCAACGUUGAAAUACCACUCUGUUGAAUUUGGGUAUCUAACUUCGGACCGUGAUCCGGUUCAGGGACAGUGUCUGGUGGGUAGUUUAACUGGGGCGGUUGCCUCCUAAAAUGUAACGGAGGCGCCCAAAGGUUCCCUCAGCCUGGUUGGCAAUCAGGUGUUGAGUGCAAGUGCACAAGGGAGCUUGACUGUGAGACUGACAGGUCGAGCAGGGACGAAAGUCGGGACUAGUGAUCCGGCACCUGCGAGUGGAAGCGGUGUCGCUCAACGGAUAAAAGGUACCCCGGGGAUAACAGGCUGAUCUUCCCCAAGAGUCCAUAUCGACGGGAUGGUUUGGCACCUCGAUGUCGGCUCGUCGCAUCCUGGGGCUGGAGUAGGUCCCAAGGGUUGGGCUGUUCGCCCAUUAAAGCGGCACGCGAGCUGGGUUUAGAACGUCGUGAGACAGUUCGGUCCCUAUCCUCCGCGCGCGUAGGAGACUUGAGAAGAGCUGUCCCUAGUACGAGAGGACCGGGACGGACGAACCUCUGGUGUGCCAGUUGUCAUACCAAUGGCACGGCUGGUUAGCUACGUUCGGAAGGGAUAACCGCUGAAAGCAUCUAAGCGGGAAGCUCGCUUCAAGAUGAGGUCUCCCACCCCUUGAGGGUUAAGGCCCCCAGCUAGACCACUGGGUUGAUAGGCCAGAAGUGUAAGCCUGGUAACAGGUUCAGCCGACUGGUACUAAUAGGCCGAGGACUCCAA